Molecule: long non-coding RNA, 5703 nt
Organism: Poecile atricapillus (Black-capped chickadee)
Lineage: Eukaryota; Metazoa; Chordata; Aves; Passeriformes; Paridae
Exons: 3
Source: RefSeq, a predicted model, not a curated record
GCAGGGGGCGGGAGAGGAGACACUGCCCACUCCCAAACGAUGCCCUGCUUCAAUUAGCUUCCCUUGGAACUAAUUAAAGGGCAGCUCAAGCCCUGAGAAGUCAAGAGGAAAACUCCACCCCGUGUGCUCACCUGUCUGCAGGCACGUAACACCGGAACCCGGGCUCGGGCUGUGCUUUACGGGGCCGUGCUGGAGGAAAUGGGCAUUUUGUGGGUAAAAGUAAUUACACCAGGCCCAGUGUGACCUCGCUCAUGGAUGUGCCAUCCCACCCUGGGCUGGACACAGCAGCCCUGCUGAGCUUUUGGCUGCCUGUGUUUCGGGUUCAGGGUGCUCCAGCACAUCCUUUUUUUCCCACCCUGAGUUCUGUUGGAAUUUGGGAGCUGAGAUCCCUUUGGUGAGGUCGGAGGACGGAGGAAAGCCCAGCCUAGCACAUUCCAGGAGUGAUGCUGGGAUGCAGAGCAGCAUUCUCUGAGUAAAAUCUCCUCCCCAUUUCUCCCACUGCUUUCAGCCCCUUCCCAAACCCAGCAGCUGGAAGAUCAGUUAGACAAGAGGGAAAGUCCAAGGAGAAGGAAACCUGGAGAUUUCCUGGUACCAGUUGUUUACCAGCCUCUCCUUAUCCAGCCCAGCAGCAGGAAGUCAAACACUCUCCUCCCUCCCCUCCUGUUUGCUUUCACCUGCUGAAAAUUCCCUCCCCUGUGUGAGGCUCUGGCUGCUGGCACCAGUGCCCUCCAGUUAACUGCUCUGGGGCUGGAGCUCGCUUCCAGGCCAGCCCCAAGGUAGGAAACCUCCCCUUGAGCUGUGCCAAGGGUCAUCCCGAGGGUUAUCAGUCACCAAUCCAGAGCAGACAGUCCCCCUCCCAGAGAAUCUGGGUAUUCUGGGAGCUCCUCAGCAGUGAAGACCCCCCACCCAAAAUUCCCAGUACAGGGAAACCCCCGUGAGGCUUCACCCCCUUUCCCCAGGACAGGCCCUGCUCGGCACGUCCCCCAUGUCCAAGAAUAACCUCAGCCUGAGGAACAGGGUCACCUCCCUCUAAUCUCCAAAGCCCUUUAAACCUGGAUCAUCUUCUCCCAACGUGGAUAUCACCCCACUUGGCAGCUAAAGCGGGUCAGGACGUACAGCAGGACAGCUCCUUCCCCACUGAAACCGCCCUGCCUGGGCCCCACCAAAGAAAAGCCGUGGCCACCGUCCUUCCCAAAGCUUCCCAGCCCUGUGGCCAGGUUGGUUACUCCGAGCACCCCUCAAAUUGUUCCAAAGAUGGGAUAAAAUGGGGAAUUCAGGCUGCAGUGCCAGAGUCUGAGCAUCUUCCAAGACAAAACACCUCCUCAAUUGCUCCAUGCUUUUGAAGAGCAUGGAAUAGUUUAGGUCAGAUUGCCAAUUCCAAACAAAUAAAGUCACUAGGUUAGGAUCCUGAAGGGGGCAAUUGAAUUUCUGGAAAGCUUCCAGUCUAAAUAACAGUGUUUCCUCAAGGAAAUCUAAACAAACUGAAGGGAGAAGGAAGGGAUGGAAGCAGGGGAGCGCUGGGCAUGCCCCAGCCCAGGACAUCAUGUUAAAGCUCCAGAUCACGGAGUAGCUGUGGGUGUAAUGAGCUCAAUGCCACGUUUUUGAACCAAACCCCAGCAAAUCCCCAUCUCUUGGCUCAAGGCUGUCUCCAAGGCUCAGCUCAUUUCCAUGCCGGAUGCUGGAGAGGUGCCCAGGGUCGCCUGUCCCGGCUGCACCGCUGGGAAAGGUCUGCCCGCCCCAGCUGAGGAAACCUCAACUUGCCCAAUUCCUGCUGCUGUGUGACCUGAGCUGAGCCAAGCUGAGCUGAGCCGUGCUCAAAGCAACCCAAAAAACAGCUUUUGAUUUCCAAACUCGUGGCUCUGGUGCCAGCACUGCAGCCAGACACCGUUCUACUCCUCAGGACUCCUCCUAAGGAGCCUGGACCCCGAGGGAUCAGCACUGAGGAAAUAUUAAUUAACUCAUCUUCAAAUAACUCAAUUCCAAGUCAAUGCUGUUCUCCAUAGAAAAGAGCUGGGGCUGUUCAGCCUCGAGAAGAGAAGCCCAAAGGGGCUCCAGGAGAGCUGGAGAGGGAAUUUGGACAAGGGCCUGGAGGGACAGGACACAGGGAAUGGCUCCCAGUGCCGGAGGGCAGGGCUGGAUGGGAUAUUGGGAAGGAAUUCUCCCCUGGGAGGGUGGGCAGGCCCUGGAAGAGAUUCCCAGAGGAGCUGGGGCUGUCCCUGGAUCCCUGGCAGUGCCCAAGGCCAGGCUGGACGGGGUUUGGAGCAGCCUGGGACAGUGGGAGCUGUCAGAAGGCUCUCAGGUCCUUCCCAACCCAAAGCAUUCCAGGACUCUGUAAAUUCCUUGGCUCUCAGGCUGCCCUUGCAGGGAUGCUGGAGAUCCUCUCCCCAUCUCUCGGGGACACGGGGCAGAGCUGCUGAGGGUGACGACGCUUCCGGCACUGCGCCAUUGCUUCCUGCCCAGCGGGAAGGGGAAGGGAGCUUUGUUCCUGUGCCAAAAGGUCCCAGAUAAACCUUUCCCAUUAAUGGUCCCGGCUUCCAAGAAGGGGAAGCUGUUUGCCUCUUGUGUUCACUUUGCUCUGAGUCCUUUCCCAGAGCCACGUGGCUGCCAGGAACUGGAGCGGCUGCACAUGUUUCCAAUCCCUCAGCAUCUUCCCGCUGUAUUUUUCAGCUGGAUGUGACUAAUUCCAGCGUGUUUCUGAGCAAAAGCAGAAAAAUGGGAGCUUUCUGGGAUAGAUUCUUUACCUUUUUGCCAACAAAGCCAAACAUUUGUUGACUGUAAGAUGACGGAGCAGCAGAAGGCUGGAACACCCCAAACCCACAGCAGGCGCUGUCACCCCUCUCUCCAGGGAAAUUUUUGCUGAGAAUUAUAUUUUCUUUAAAUUACUUCCCUCCCUAUUCCAGUUUUUAACUUCAAGCAUACGGUUUUGUAAGAAUCCCUGAAGUUUUGGGGAAUGCUGCCUGUCUCCCUGCUGCUCUGCUGGGAGGAUGCUGUGCACCCCAAUCUGUGGUGGGACGUGAGGAACUCGGGGAAUUGGGCAGAGGGAGCAGCAGAGGCUGCAGGAUGAAGUGGGAAGGUUUUAUUCCCUGUCCCAAGGCAGAGCCUGUGCCAUGGGGCCCCUGUGCUGCCCAUGCCUGUCCCUGUUUCCCACCCCAGGUGACUCAGAGCAGGGAACCGGCUCGUCCCCUUCCCCAGCCUCCCGUGGGUGACACAGGGGUGAUGCUGGCUGUGCCUGGCCCUGGUGGCACCCACGUCCUUCAGCUGCUCCACGCCAGCUCCAGGCCCACGUGCCCUCCCCGGCAGGGCCAAGCCUGGGAUGACACACGCCCGGAGUCAUCCCGAGCCCGGCUGAGUCAGAUGUUUCCUGCUCGGCCGGUUCCUCCCCAUCCUCAGCCCCGGGACAGCAGCUGGAUCCACGCCGGAGGUGGAGCCGGGUACUGACGGUGAGGAAGUGACACCGCCGAGCAUCCAGCGACCCAUCCUGGGGUGACCCCAGUGCCCCAGUAACACCAGCUCAGCCAGGAAAACGCUCCUGUCGCUGCUGCUCUGCACCCUUCACCCCACCUUACACCCCGAGGGUCUCCGGGGCAGAGACCCCACUCGGAUGCUGGAGGGCAAAGCCUCGCUGGCCCCGAGAAUCCCCCCGGGGUGGUGGGAGCAGCCCCCUGUGGAGGGGAAACUGAGGCUGGGCAGCUCUGAUGGGGUGGAGAGGAGCAAGGGCACACAGGAUGACUUCCCAGAGGCUGGAAAAGCCGUCCUGACAUUGACCUUGGCUCUGACCUCGGCAGCCUCAAGGAAAGCUGUUAAGUUGGUUUUCCAGGAAUUUGCCAUAGGUGCCCCUCCCAUAUCCGCAGAGGCAGCCAGGGAGGAAUCAGCUGGGCAAAACGAAUCCCUUGGCAAAGGAAAAAUGUGAAAAAAAAAAAAAAAUACAAAACGAGGAAAAGCUGCCCCUGCCUGGGGACAGCCACAAAUGCAGGAAAAUCAAUUCCAUCCCCAGUCUUUCCCUUUGGAAGGAGGGAUGGGGAUGCUCACCCCCAUGGCAUGAGCAGGCUCAGGGACCAGAAGCCCAGGGUGAGGUGGCACAUCCCAAGGGAACGCGGGGCAGCAGCGGGGAAACUUUCAAGCUGGGAUCUCAAAGGACGCUGCCGAGGUUAAUUAAAGUUUGCACAAUCCCUUGGGGGUUAGAUAAGUCUGGACAACCCACUUUCCAGGCAGGAAAAGGGCUGGAGUUGGGGAGGGAGGUAAUAUGCCCCCAGAUGAGUGGCAGGGCAGGUAAAGCUGCUCCAUGGCAAGAAUGGGAAGAAAAAUUCCAUUUUUGAGGCUAUUUUCAAGGCCUUGAGGCAGACACAAACCACAGCUAUUGGAAAAGGCGGUUUUUUACCCUAGCUGAGCUCCUUUUCUCCCUCAUCCAAAGGGAAAACACAUCCCAGGUUAUCACCUGCAAUUCUUUUCCCCAAAUAGUCUCAAAGACAGGGUUUGAUAAGACCCAAUCAAACAAGUUGCAGCUUUCCAAGAAUUUCACCCCCUACACCUCCCUGUGGUGGGGACUCCCUGGCUUUUCCCUUUGCCUGGGGAGAUUUACAAAGCAGGAAUAAUUUUGACGCCCGUGGUGGAAGCAGCCAGGUCAGACAGCUGCCUUCUCCCCCCUCUCCCUGAGCCAAGCUGAGCUCUGUGCUCUCUCCCAGCUUUGCCUCAUGCGAGGAUUCACAGGAAUUUGUUUAAAAAUAUCCCAGAGCAAUCCAGUUGUGGAGGCGGCCCGGAGAGCAGUGCCAUCUCCCACAGCACCCCCAGCUCUGGCCACCAGCUCCUGCAGAGGGUUUUUUUUUGUCCCUCCCUCACAUCUCAACAACCUCUUUUUAUUUGGGUUUUGGAGCCGGGAGGGGAACGCAGCGGGUUCCUGAGGCUUUGCACGCCCUUCUCCCGCUGGCCUCCCUCUCCCCACUUUAACCCCCCCUCACCUUCUGUGCCUGGUCAUGGUUGAGCUCGGUGAAGAAAUAAGCGAGGAGAUGGGAUGCGAUCAUGGCGGGAGCGCUCGGCCCGCCUCGGCCCGGUUCGGCUGGGCUCGGCACGGCUCGGCACGGCUCGGCUGGGCUCGGCUCAGCUCGGCUCGGCUCAGCUCGGCUCGGCUCGGCUCAGCACGGUUCGGCUAGGCUCGGCUCAGCUCGGCCCGGCUCGGCUCAGUUCGGCUCAGCUCGGCCCGGCUCGGCUCAGUUCGGCUCAGCUCGGCCCGGCUCGGCUCAGUUCGGCUCAGUUCGGCCCGGCUCGGCUCAGCUCGGCCCGGCUCGGCUCAGUUCGGCUCAGUUCGGCCCGGCUCGGCGGGAGCGGAGCGGCCCCGGCAGCGCCGCGCGCUCCCCGCGCCAAUCGCGCUCAUUGAGGAUCCGCCCCCGGCGGUGACGCGGCCGCGCCGCCGCUCCCCAUUGGCCCAGGAGCGAGGGAAAGAGGGAGAGAAGCAACCGAUGCCAGAGGUGAGACAACCCUGCUGCCAGACACCUUUUCCUUGAGGAUCCAGUCCUGCUGCACCCACCAUGAAUCUGUCAGGCGUGCCGGUUAAAUCCCCAGAUCGUGACCUGAUUCAUUUUAGGAUUUGGACUCAAUGAUCCUCGUGGAUCUCUUCCAAAUCAGGAUGUUCCAUUAAUCUCUGUCACUGCCCCUACAUUUCAAUUCACCCUCUGAUCCAGCUUUUUUUUUUUUUUUUUUUUUUUUUAC